Molecule: ribosomal RNA, 492 nt
Filed under: uncultured bacterium
Lineage: Bacteria
Description: partial 16S ribosomal RNA
Rfam family: Bacterial small subunit ribosomal RNA
Source: RNAcentral
AGUGAACGCUGGCGGUAGGCCUAACACAUGCAAGUCGAACGGCAGCACAGUAAGAGCUUGCUCUUACGGGUGGCGAGUGGCGGACGGGUGAGGAAUACAUCGGAAUCUACUUUUUCGUGGGGGAUAACGUAGGGAAACUUACGCUAAUACCGCAUACGACCUACGGGUGAAAGCAGGGGAUCUUCGGACCUUGCGCGAUUGAAUGAGCCGAUGUCGGAUUAGCUAGUUGGCGGGGUAAAGGCCCACCAAGGCGACGAUCCGUAGCUGGUCUGAGAGGAUGAUCAGCCACAUUGGAACUGAGACACGGUCCAGAGUCCUACGGGAGGCAGCAGUGGGGAAUAUUGGACAACGGGCGCAAGCCUGAUCCAGCCAUACCGAGUGGGUGAAGAAGGCCUUCGGGUUGUAAAGCCCUUUUGUUGGGAAAGAAAAGCAGCAGGUUAAUACCCCGCUGUUCUGACGGUACCCAAAGAAUAAGCACCGGCUAACUUCGUG